AUUGAACGCUGGCGGCAUGCCUUACACAUGCAAGUCGAACGGCAGCACGGGAGCAAUCCUGGUGGCGAGUGGCGAACGGGUGAGUAAUAUAUCGGAACAUGCCCAGUCGUGGGGGAUAACGUAGCGAAAGCUACGCUAAUACCGCAUACGAUCUAUGGAUGAGAGCGGGGGAUCGCAAGACCUCGCGCGAUUGGAGCGGCCGAUAUCAGAUUAGGUAGUUGGUGAGGUAAAGGCUCACCAAGCCGACGAUCGGUAGCUGGUCUGAGAGGACGACCAGUCACACUGGGACUGAGACACGGCCCAGACUCCUACGGGAGGCAGCAGUGGGGAAUUUUGGACAAUGGGCGCAAGCCUGAUCCAGCAAUGCCGCGUGCAGGAUGAAGGCCUUCGGGUUGUAAACUGCUUUUGUACGGAACGAAACGGUGAGCUCUAAUACAGUUUGCUAAUGACGGUACCGUAAGAAUAAGCACCGGCUAACUACGUGCCAGCCGCCGCGGUAA
RNAcentral lists this ribosomal RNA (500 nucleotides) under uncultured bacterium. Its description in RNAcentral is "partial 16S ribosomal RNA". It matches the Rfam family "Bacterial small subunit ribosomal RNA", at positions 30 to 523 of the family's 1533-position model. The record is from RNAcentral.